AGUAACGCGUGGAUAACCUGCCUCACACAGGGGGAUAACAGUUGGAAACGGCUGCUAAUACCGCAUAAGCGCACAGCACCGCAUGGUGCAGUGUGAAAAACUCCGGUGGUGUGAGAUGGAUCCGCGUCUGAUUAGCUUGUUGGCGGGGUAACGGCCCACCAAGGCGACGAUCAGUAGCCGGCCUGAGAGGGCGACCGGCCACAUUGGGACUGAGACACGGCCCAG
RNAcentral lists this ribosomal RNA (225 nucleotides) under uncultured bacterium. RNAcentral describes it as "partial 16S ribosomal RNA". It matches the Rfam family "Bacterial small subunit ribosomal RNA", at positions 109 to 334 of the family's 1533-position model. The record is from RNAcentral.